CAAGAUCAGGAUGAUUGUGAUGUGAUGAUUGAGCCUGCCGCUGCCCUCAGGGGUCUCUAUGCGAUGAUGGUCUCAUGGUGUGACCAAUUCCUUGAUAUUGAUAUUGAGGAGGGAGGGGAUAGAUCCGUUCCUCCCUUGUUGAUGAUCCACUUUCCCCGUCUUUUUGAGAGAGCAUGGGGAAAUAAUCGCCUAUAUCCUCAAGCUUUAGAUGACUGGUGUCCGUAUCGUGCAUACCUCCAGAAGUUCUGCGAUCAUAAUGCUCCUCGUUAUCAUGAUCCCGAUGCCUACAAGUUGUGUAUGGAUCAAGAAAU
Molecule: long non-coding RNA, 311 nt
Organism: Triticum dicoccoides
Lineage: Eukaryota; Viridiplantae; Streptophyta; Magnoliopsida; Poales; Poaceae
Exons: 3
Source: RefSeq, a predicted model, not a curated record